CAGCCGCCGCGGUAAUACAGAGGGUGCGAGCGUUAAUCGGAUUUACUGGGCGUAAAGCGUGCGUAGGCGGCUUUUUAAGUCGGAUGUGAAAUCCCUGAGCUUAACUUAGGAAUUGCAUUCGAUACUGGGAAGCUAGAGUAUGGGAGAGGAUGGUAGAAUUCCAGGUGUAGCGGUGAAAUGCGUAGAGAUCUGGAGGAAUACCGAUGGCGAAGGCAGCCAUCUGGCCUAACACUGACGCUGAGGUACGAAAGCAUGGGGAGCAAACAGGAUUAGAUACCCCCGUAGUCCCUGUCUCUUAUAC
Molecule: ribosomal RNA, 301 nt
Filed under: uncultured bacterium
Lineage: Bacteria
Description: partial 16S ribosomal RNA
Rfam family: Bacterial small subunit ribosomal RNA
Source: RNAcentral